This is a long non-coding RNA of Zea mays, 1027 nucleotides long. RefSeq lists it as uncharacterized. The transcript has 2 exons. The record is from RefSeq and is a predicted model, not a curated record. Lineage: Eukaryota; Viridiplantae; Streptophyta; Magnoliopsida; Poales; Poaceae.
GUCUUGAGCAAAGGAGCUGGGAACCGUCCUGAAAGAGAGCGCGUGGGCAGAGAGAGAUCGAGGAGAGAUAAUCCGUCUCCGUCGUUGAUUCAUGCGUGCGCCGGCGUCGAGUUCUUAGGGCCAGGACAGGAAGCUUUGCCACGUCUUCGGUAACGUGUCCGUAGCCUUCACGAGAGGGGAGUACCACCAGGUCACCGAUGAUUUCUCACCGGAGCCACCAAGCCGUCGUCUACCGUGGCUAGCUCGAGCCAUCGUAAUUCGUCACCGAAGCGAGAUGACGAGAAAUCAGAAGACCAACUUGGUAAAUCACUUGGAUAUCACAAGUCUAAGGCAAGUUGUGUCCUUGUCACUAUUUUUACCUAAUAAUGUUCAUGUUAUUCACUGUGAGAUUCUCAGGUUAAUUGGAUGGGACCUAAUAGGUUACCCUAGUUUUGUUUACCCCACACGUUGCAAACAAAUGAACUAUUGGGUAGUUUAGAUAUGAUCUACCUAGUUUUUGGGAAGUAAUGAUAUAUGACAUAUGAUCAUGCUUUUAUCAUUGUUACUGGAUUAUUUAUUGUUCAUGAUAAGAUUAUGGUAUUAAUUGGAACAUGGAGCUUAACUUGAGAUAGCAGUGCUACUACAAGGGGGGAAUGGGACACCCUUGACCAAGUAAUUAGGAAAGCUAGGGAGAGAUUACCUUACCCAAAAGGGUCAAGCGGGGAGUGCGUCGCUGCAGAGUAUACGGAGGUCCUCGGGUCGAACUGUCUGUACAGCUUUUUGGACGAGGGAUUCAUAUGCUUCCUUCUUUCUAACACCGUAGCGGGUUUUCUCGAACUAGUGGAACUUUGGAAAUGCCUCGUAGUGCUACCCUACAUCGCCUCCUCUAUAGAGGUGUAUGGGAUUCAUGACCCCGUGGAAGGUGGGUAUCACGGCUUGUGGGUAAAUAUGUGCAACCUCUAUAGAGUGUAAAACUGGUAUAUCAGUCGUGCUCAUAGUCAAGAGCGACUCAUGACUCUCACGUGAUUAACUUAUGCAUUAAACUUAA